ACGCUGGCGGCGUGCCUAAUACAUGCAAGUAGAACGCUGAAGCUUGGUGCUUGCACCGAGCGGAUGAGUUGCGAACGGGUGAGUAACGCGUAGGUAACCUGCCUCUUAGCGGGGGAUAACUAUUGGAAACGAUAGCUAAUACCGCAUAAAAGUCGACAUCGCAUGAUGUUGACUUGAAAGGUGCAAUUGCAUCACUAAGAGAUGGACCUGCGUUGUAUUAGCUAGUUGGUGAGGUAACGGCUCACCAAGGCGACGAUACAUAGCCGACCUGAGAGGGUGAUCGGCCACACUGGGACUGAGACACGGCCCAGACUCCUACGGGAGGCAGCAGUAGGGAAUCUUCGGCAAUGGGGGCAACCCUGACCGAGCAACGCCGCGUGAGUGAAGAAGGUUUUCGGAUCGUAAAGCUCUGUUGUAAGAGAAGAACGAGUGUGAGAGUGGAAAGUUCUCACUGUGACGGUAACUUACCAGAAAGGGACGGCUAACUACGUGCCAGCAGCCGCGGUAAUACGUAGGUCCCGAGCGUUAUCCGGAUUUAUUGGGCGUAAAGCGAGCGCAGGCGGUUAGAUAAGUCUGAAGUUAAAGGCUGUGGCUUAACCAUAGUACGCUUUGGAAACUGUUUAACUUGAGUGCAGAAGGGGAGAGUGGAAUUCCAUGUGUAGCGGUGAAAUGCGUAGAUAUAUGGAGGAACACCGGUGGCGAAAGCGGCUCUCUGGUCUGUAACUGACGCUGAGGCUCGAAAGCGUGGGGAGCAAACAGGAUUAGAUACCCUGGUAGUCCACGCCGUAAACGAUGAGUGCUAGGUGUUGGGUCCUUUCCGGGACUCAGUGCCGCAGCUAACGCAUUAAGCACUCCGCCUGGGGAGUACGACCGCAAGGUUGAAACUCAAAGGAAUUGACGGGGGCCCGCACAAGCGG
Molecule: ribosomal RNA, 917 nt
Filed under: uncultured bacterium
Lineage: Bacteria
Description: bacterial SSU rRNA
Rfam family: Bacterial small subunit ribosomal RNA
Source: RNAcentral